This 231-nucleotide unclassified non-coding RNA is filed under the name uncultured fungus. Its description in RNAcentral is "partial contains 5.8S ribosomal RNA and internal transcribed spacer 2". The stretch from base 1 to 129 matches the Rfam family "5.8S ribosomal RNA", at positions 22 to 154 of the family's 154-position model. Rfam says of the family: 5.8S ribosomal RNA (5.8S rRNA) is a component of the large subunit of the eukaryotic ribosome. It is transcribed by RNA polymerase I as part of the 45S precursor that also contains 18S and 28S rRNA. The record is from RNAcentral. Lineage: Eukaryota; Fungi.
UGGUUCUCGCAUCGAUGAAGAACGCAGCGAAUUGCGAUACGUAGUAUGACUUGCAGACGUGAAUCAUCGAAUCUUUGAACGCAUAUUGCGCCUUGGGGCAUUCCCCAAGGCAUGCCUGUUUGAGCGUGAUAUCUUCUCACCGUUGGUGGAUUUGUUUCUAAAUAUCAUGCCACAGUGAAGUCUACGCUUUCACUGCUUUUUCCCCUCAAAUCAGGUAGGACUACCCGCUGA